Pantherophis guttatus is the source of this 667-nucleotide long non-coding RNA. RefSeq lists it as uncharacterized. The record is from RefSeq and is a predicted model, not a curated record. Lineage: Eukaryota; Metazoa; Chordata; Lepidosauria; Squamata; Colubridae.
CCAUGAUUAAGCUGCUUUGCAAACAGCAGAAAGAUACUUCUGGAAAAGAGGAGGCGUCAGUUUCUCUCCUGGAUUAUGGGAAUUUGUAAUGCGGACAACAUGAGGCAAGCAGUGGUGGGAUUCAAUUUUUUUACUACCGAUUCUGCAGACAAGGCACCAUAAUUUAACACCAGCUGUCUGCAAUUAAAGUAAGUUCGAAUCUCACCCGGCUCAAGGUUGACUCAGCCUUCCAUCCUUUCUAAGUUGGAAAUUUCACUGAAAAGUCCACUUACCAAAGAUGUACGACAUAGAAUUCAUGUUCCUUCCCUCUAGGAUUUUCUCAGAUAGCCGGUGGGCUGAUGCAGUUCAAUAUCACCAUCCUGGAAUGCAAAAAUGCAUCUUCUUCUGAGCCUGAUCAUCAGUGACAGUUGGGAAGAGCUGAACCUUUUCUGCAAUUAUUGGAAAAUUUGUUUUUUUAAAAAAAUGGGAAAGUUGGAGAUUUAAUAGUGAGGUAAGUAGAGAUUGGAAUCAAAAAUGCUUGUGAUUCUUACAUGAGUCAGUUGUGAAAAGCUGGAAAUUUGGGCAAAAAUGUUGAACUAUCAUGCUUUGAGAUCACAGCUCAAUAAAAUUGGUGUUUUCAACCUUCAAAGUCCACAGAAUCAUCAUAAAAAUAAAUAGCUAUGACAAA